Molecule: ribosomal RNA, 675 nt
Filed under: Stenotrophomonas sp. DD5
Lineage: Bacteria; Pseudomonadati; Pseudomonadota; Gammaproteobacteria; Lysobacterales; Lysobacteraceae
Description: partial 16S ribosomal RNA
Rfam family: Bacterial small subunit ribosomal RNA
Source: RNAcentral
ACGCUAAUACCGCAUACNACCUUCGGGUGAAAGCNGGGGACCUUCCGGCCUUGCACGAAUAGAUGACCCAAUGUCUGAUUAGCUAGUUGGCGGGGUAAAGGCCCACCAAGGCGACGAUCCGUAGCUGGUCUGAGAGGAUGAUCAGCCACACUGAAACUGACACACCGCCCACACUCCUACGGGAGGCAGCAGUGGGGAAUAUUGGACAAUGGCCGCACGCCUGAUCCCGCCAUACCGCGUGAGUGAAGAAGGCCUUCGGGUUGUAAAGCCCUUUUGUUGGGAAAGAAAAGCAGUCCAUUAAUACUCUGUUGUUCUGACGGUACCCAAAGAAUAAGCACCGGCUAACUUCAUGCCCGCAGCCGCGGAAAUACNAAGGGUGCAAGCGUUUCUCGGAAUUACUGGCCCUAAAGCGUGCGUAGGUGGUUGUUUAAGUCUGUUGUGAAAGCCCUGGGGUCAACCUGGGAAUUGCAGUGGAUACUGGACGACUAGAGUGUGNGANAGGGUANCGNNNUUCCCGGUGUANCGCUGAAAUGCAUANAGAUCNGGAGGAACAUCCAUGGCNAACGCGGNNAGNUGGACCAACACUGACACUGAGGCACGAANGCCUGNGGNGCAAACAGGAUUAGAUACCCUGGUAGUCCACNCCCNNNANNAUGCNNNCUGGAUGCUGGGNGC